Molecule: ribosomal RNA, 466 nt
Filed under: Triviella millardi
Lineage: Eukaryota; Metazoa; Mollusca; Gastropoda; Littorinimorpha; Cypraeidae
Description: Gaeatrivia millardi partial 16S large subunit ribosomal RNA
Rfam family: Bacterial large subunit ribosomal RNA
Source: RNAcentral
GAAUCGAACCUGCCCGGUGGGUGUUUUUAACGGCCGCGGUACUCUGACCGUGCAAAGGUAGCAUAAUAAUUUGUCUUGUAAUUGAAGUCUUGUAUGAAUGGUUUAACAAGGGUGUUGCUGUCUCCUUUUAAUUUUUUAAAAUUUUAUGUUUAAGUUAAGAAGCUUAAAUUUAAUUAAAAGACAAGAAGACCCUAUCGAGCUUUAAAAGUUUUAUUAGGGGUGGCUUUAUAGUAGUUUAUAUGCUAAACUGAUAAGUAAAUUUUGGUUGGGGCGACUGGGGAACAAAUGAAGCUUCCUUUAGAUAGGGUACUGGUGGGUAUAGAUCCAAAAUAUUUUGAUUAAUAGAAUUAGUUACCGUAGGGAUAACAGCAUUAUCUUUUUUGAGAGUUCAUAUCGAAAAAGAGGGUUGUGACCUCGAUGUUGGACCAAAAUGUCCUAAAGAUGUAGUAGUCUUUAAGGGUUGGUC